RNAcentral lists this ribosomal RNA (465 nucleotides) under uncultured bacterium. Its description in RNAcentral is "partial 16S ribosomal RNA". It matches the Rfam family "Bacterial small subunit ribosomal RNA", at positions 28 to 507 of the family's 1533-position model. The record is from RNAcentral.
GAUGAACGCUGGCGGCGUGCUUAACACAUGCAAGUCGAACGGAAAGGCUCCUGCUUGCAGGGGUACUCGAGUGGCGAACGGGUGAGUAACACGUGGGUGAUCUGCCCUGCACUUCGGGAUAAGCCUGGGAAACUGGGUCUAAUACCGGAUAGGACGAUGGUUUGGAUGCCAUUGUGGAAAGUUUUUCGGUGUGGGAUGAGCUCGCGGCCUUUCAGCUUGUUGGUGGGGUAAUGGCCUACCAAGGCGUCGACGGGUAGCCGGCCUGAGAGGGUGUACGGCCACAUUGGGACUGAGAUACGGCCCAGACUCCUACGGGAGGCAGCAGUGGGGAAUAUUGCACAAUGGGCGCAAGCCUGAUGCAGCGACGCCGCGUGGGGGAUGACGGCCUUCGGGUUGUAAACUCCUUUCGCUAGGGACGAAGCGCAAGUGACGGUACCUGGAGAAGAAGCACCGGCUAACUACGUG